CCUACGGGUGGCAGCAGUGGGGAAUAUUGCGCAAUGGGCGAAAGCCUGACGCAGCGACGCCGCGUGAGGGAUGACGGUCUUCGGAUCGUAAACCUCUGUCAGCAGGGAAGAACGGUCACUGUGCUAAUCAGCAGUGAAUUGACGGUACCUGCAAAGGAAGCACCGGCUAACUCCGUGCCCGCAGCCGCGGUAAUACGUAGGGUGCGAGCGUUAAUCGGAAUUUCUGGGCGUAAGGGGCUCGUAGGCGGUAUGUCAAGUCAAAGGUGAAAUCACCGCGCUCAACGUGGGAACUGCCUUUGAAACUGGCAAACUUGAGUGUGUGAGAGGAUAGUGGAAUUCCAGGUGUAGGAGGGAAAUCCGUAGAUAUCUGGAGGAACAUCAGUGGCGAAGGCGACUAUCUGGCACAUAACUGACGCUGAGGAGCGAAAGCGUGGGUAGCAAACAGGAUUAGAGACCCGUGUAGUC
This 465-nucleotide ribosomal RNA is filed under the name uncultured bacterium. Its description in RNAcentral is "partial 16S ribosomal RNA". It matches the Rfam family "Bacterial small subunit ribosomal RNA", at positions 338 to 795 of the family's 1533-position model. The record is from RNAcentral.